This 474-nucleotide ribosomal RNA is filed under the name uncultured bacterium. RNAcentral's name for it is "bacterial SSU rRNA". It matches the Rfam family "Bacterial small subunit ribosomal RNA", at positions 67 to 518 of the family's 1533-position model. The record is from RNAcentral.
CUUUCUAUGGAAGCUUGCUUCCACUGAGAAGAUAGUGGCGAACGGGUGAGUAACACGUGGGUAACCUGCCCAUAAGAGGGGGAUAACAUCCGGAAACGGGUGCUAAUACCGCAUAGUUUUCUUGAUUGCAUGAUUGAGAAAGGAAAGACGGCCUUUGUGCUGUCGCUUAUGGAUGGACCCGCGGCGUAUUAGUUAGUUGGUGAGGUAACGGCUCACCAAGACGAUGAUACGUAGCCGACCUGAGAGGGUGAUCGGCCACAUUGGGACUGAGACACGGCCCAAACUCCUACGGGAGGCAGCAGUAGGGAAUCUUCCGCAAUGGACGAAAGUCUGACGGAGCAACGCCGCGUGAGUGAAGAAGGUUUUCGGAAUCGUAAAACUCUGUUGUCAGAGAAGAACAAGUUGGAGAGUAACUGCUCCAGCCUUGACGGUAUCUGACCAGAAAGCCACGGCUAACUACGUGCCAGCAGCAGC